GUGCCAGCAGCCGCGGUAAUACGUAGGGUGCAAGCAUUAUCCGGAGUGACUGGGCGUAAAGAGUUGCGUAGGUGGUUUGUUAAGUGAAUAGUGAAAUCUGGGGGCUCAACCUCACAGACUAUUAUUCAAACUGGCAAACUCGAGAAUGGUAGAGGUAACUGGAAUUUCUAGUGUAGGAGUGAAAUCCGUAGAUAUUAGAAGGAACACCAAUGGCGUAGGCAGGUUACUGGACCAUUUCUGACACUGAGGCACGAAAGCGUGGGGAGCGAACCGGAUUAGAAACCCCCGUAGUCC
Molecule: ribosomal RNA, 294 nt
Filed under: uncultured bacterium
Lineage: Bacteria
Description: partial 16S ribosomal RNA
Rfam family: Bacterial small subunit ribosomal RNA
Source: RNAcentral